CCCCCGAGCACCCCGUGAUAGCUUUUAGGCAACCCAAUAGUGUGCGAAACAUGUUUGGGCGGGCUGAAAUGUCUGAUCAUGACAUAGAAGUACUUCUUGAGAAUAUCGUUCGUGUGAUGAAAACAGCAGCAAAUCCUGCCUACAGCUGAAUCACUCAUCAACUUUUCACAGAAAGGCAACCGAAAAUAACUAUAGAACAUUUUGCAUUGUAACCUGCAAAAGUAUGAAUGUAAUUUGCAUUCUAGAAUGUUCG
RNAcentral lists this long non-coding RNA (253 nucleotides) under Mytilus galloprovincialis (Mediterranean mussel). The record is from RNAcentral. Lineage: Eukaryota; Metazoa; Mollusca; Bivalvia; Mytilida; Mytilidae.